Molecule: small RNA, 174 nt
Filed under: Gopherus agassizii (Agassiz's desert tortoise)
Lineage: Eukaryota; Metazoa; Chordata; Testudines; Testudinidae
Description: TUC338 (ENSGAGG00000023378.1)
Source: RNAcentral
UGACCUUGCCCGGAAACUGGAUUCCUCUGUUCCCUGAGAGAACAAAUGCAACAAAAGCAGAAGGCAGCACUUCAUACAUUUCUCCAACAAUAUGCCUCACCCUUGGUGUGGAGGGACUACCUCUCAAGGUGAGAGGAUAAUUUGAUCCCUACGUUUGUUUAUUCCUUGGCCUUU